UCAGGACGAACGCUGGCGGCGUGCCUAACACAUGCAAGUCGAACGAAGCUUGAAUUCAGAUUCUUCGGAAUGACGAAUGAUAUGACUGAGUGGCGGACGGGUGAGUAACGCGUGAGCAACCUGCCCUUCGGAGGGGGAUAGUGUCUGGAAACGGACAGUAAUACCGCAUAACGUACAGAGACGGCAUCGUCAUUGUACCAAAGAUUUAUCGCCGAGGGAUGGGCUCGCGUCUGAUUAGGUAGUUGGUGGGGUAACGGCCUACCAAGUCGACGAUCAGUAGCCGGACUGAGAGGUUGAUCGGCCACAUUGGGACUGAGACACGGCCCAGACUCCUACGGGAGGCAGCAGUGGGGGAUAUUGCACAAUGGGCGCAAGCCUGAAUGCAGCAACGCCGCGUGGAGGAAGACGGUUUUCGGAUUGUAAACUCCUGUUCUUAGGGAAGAAGACAGUGACGGUACCUAAGGAGCAAGCCACGGCUAACUACGUGCCAGCCGCGGC
This 498-nucleotide ribosomal RNA is filed under the name uncultured bacterium. Its description in RNAcentral is "bacterial SSU rRNA". It matches the Rfam family "Bacterial small subunit ribosomal RNA", at positions 24 to 518 of the family's 1533-position model. The record is from RNAcentral.